RNAcentral lists this ribosomal RNA (799 nucleotides) under uncultured Ralstonia sp. Its description in RNAcentral is "bacterial SSU rRNA". It matches the Rfam family "Bacterial small subunit ribosomal RNA", at positions 8 to 796 of the family's 1533-position model. Lineage: Bacteria; Pseudomonadati; Pseudomonadota; Betaproteobacteria; Burkholderiales; Burkholderiaceae. The record is from RNAcentral.
AGAGUUUGAUCAUGGCUCAGAUUGAACGCUGGCGGCAUGCCUUACACAUGCAAGUCGAACGGCAGCAUGAUCUAGCUUGCUAGAUUGAUGGCGAGUGGCGAACGGGUGAGUAAUACAUCGGAACGUGCCCUGUAGUGGGGGAUAACUAGUCGAAAGAUUAGCUAAUACCGCAUACGACCUGAGGGUGAAAGUGGGGGACCGCAAGGCCUCAUGCUAUAGGAGCGGCCGAUGUCUGAUUAGCUAGUUGGUGAGGUAAAGGCUCACCAAGGCGACGAUCAGUAGCUGGUCUGAGAGGACGAUCAGCCACACUGGGACUGAGACACGGCCCAGACUCCUACGGGAGGCAGCAGUGGGGGAUUUUGGACAAUGGGGGCAACCCUGAUCCAGCAAUGCCGCGUGUGUGAAGAAGGCCUUCGGGUUGUAAAGCACUUUUGUCCGGAAAGAAAUCGCACUUACUAAUAUUAGGUGUGGAUGACGGUACCGGAAGAAUAAGGACCGGCUAACUACGUGCCAGCAGCCGCGGUAAUACGUAGGGUCCAAGCGUUAAUCGGAAUUACUGGGCGUAAAGCGUGCGCAGGCGGUUGUGCAAGACCGAUGUGAAAUCCCCGGGCUUAACCUGGGAAUUGCAUUGGUGACUGCACGGCUAGAGUGUGUCAGAGGGGGGUAGAAUUCCACGUGUAGCAGUGAAAUGCGUAGAGAUGUGGAGGAAUACCGAUGGCGAAGGCAGCCCCCUGGGAUAACACUGACGCUCAUGCACGAAAGCGUGGGGAGCAAACAGGAUUAGAUACCCCCGUAGUCC